Molecule: non-coding RNA, 84 nt
Filed under: Litchfieldia salsa
Lineage: Bacteria; Bacillati; Bacillota; Bacilli; Caryophanales; Bacillaceae
Description: Bacillus sp. A24(2010) c-di-GMP-I riboswitch aptamer
Rfam family: c-di-GMP-I riboswitch aptamer
About the family: GEMM was predicted in a large-scale screen for bacterial structured RNA regulatory elements. Genes associated with GEMM are involved in a diverse array of functions, including chemotaxis regulation, signal transduction, secretion and chitin.
Source: Rfam by way of RNAcentral
CUUUGAAAAAGGCAAACCAGUCGAAAGAUUGGGACGCAAAGUCACAGACCUAGGGUGUUUCACUACGGUGGCUGGACUACCAAA